Molecule: ribosomal RNA, 380 nt
Filed under: uncultured eukaryote
Lineage: Eukaryota
Description: partial 18S ribosomal RNA
Rfam family: Eukaryotic small subunit ribosomal RNA
Source: RNAcentral
CAAUAGCGUAUAUUAAAGUUGUUGCGGUUAAAAAGCUCGUAGUUGGAGUUCUGCCAGGUGCCGCCUGUCCGCCCCAGUGGUGAGUACGUGGCGCGCAUUUGGCCCUUUCAAGGGGAGCGUAUCUGCACUUUAUUGUGUGGUGCGGGAUCCUUGACUUUUACUUUGAGGAAAUAGGAGUGUUCCAAGCAGGCUCUCGUCGUGCACAGCUCAGCAUGGAAUAAUAGCAUUGGACCUCGAUUCUAAGCUGUUGGUUGCCAGAAGCGAGGUAAUGAUGAAGAGGGAUAGUUGGGGGCAUUCGUAUUUAACUGUCAGAGGUGAAAUUCUUGGAUUUGUUGAAGACGAUCUACUGCGAAAGCAUUUGCCAGGGAUGUUUUCAUUGA